AUACGUAGGGGGCAAGCGUUAUCCGGAUUUACUGGGUGUAAAGGGAGCGUAGACGGUUUGGCAAGUCUGAUGUGAAAGCCCGGGGCUCAACCGCGGGACUGCAUUGGAAACUGUCAGACUUGAGUGCAGGAGAGGUAAGUGGAAUUCCUAGUGUAGCGGUGAAAUGCGUAGAUAUUAGGAGGAAUACCAGUGGCGAAGGCGACUCUCCUGACGGAGACGGACGCUGAGGCACGAAAGCGUGGGGAGCAAACAGGAUUAGAUGCACUGGUAGUGCUCGCUAUAAACGAUGAGUGGUAGGUGUCGGGGGUCAAACCUCGGUGCCGCAGUUAACACAUUAAGCACGCCGCCUGGGGAGUACGGCCGCAAGGCUGAAACUCAAAUGAAGUGACGGGG
This 393-nucleotide ribosomal RNA is filed under the name uncultured bacterium. RNAcentral describes it as "partial 16S ribosomal RNA". It matches the Rfam family "Bacterial small subunit ribosomal RNA", at positions 523 to 918 of the family's 1533-position model. The record is from RNAcentral.